Molecule: small nucleolar RNA, 126 nt
Filed under: Hucho hucho (huchen)
Lineage: Eukaryota; Metazoa; Chordata; Actinopteri; Salmoniformes; Salmonidae
Description: Small nucleolar RNA SNORA9 (ENSHHUG00000031315.1)
Source: RNAcentral
UUGCAGGCCGUUGUCAGCAAGGCUUGGCCUGCAGUGGCUCUGUCCUCCUGUAGUGUCUGUUACAGAGAUGGUGUGAGGCCCUGCUGUCUCCUCCAUAGCAAGGUUAUAGGUCAACCUCAGACACAC